AUCCCAUGAUGUGGGCACUUUCGAAGCAUCUCUUUGUAGCGUUCCCAAGCUUCACAAAGAGUUUCACCAUAUAUACUGCUGAGAAAAUUGAGUGAUAGCAUUCCUGAUGGC
Non-coding RNA from Daucus carota subsp. sativus, 111 nucleotides. NCBI's taxonomy places the organism in Eukaryota, Viridiplantae, Streptophyta, Magnoliopsida, Apiales, Apiaceae. The record is from Rfam.